GACGAACGCUGGGGCGUGCCUAAGAAAAUGCAAGGUCGAAACGGGGCAUUCCCUUCGGGGGAUGUCAGUGGCGAACGGUCGCGUAACACGUAGGCAACCUGCCCUGAAGUGGGGGACAACAGCCCGAAAGGGCUGCUAAUACCGCAUGGGAACAACGAACUGCAUGGUUUGUUGUUCAAAGGCUUCCCGCAAGGGGGGUCGCUUCAGGAUGGGCUUGCGGCCUAUCAGGUAGUUGGUGGGGUAAUGGCUCACCAAGCCGACGACGGGUAGCUGGUCUGAGAGGACGAUCAGCCGGAUUGGGACUGAGAUACGGCCCAGACUCCUACGGGGGGCAGCAAUUAGGAAUCUUGCGCAAUGGGCGAAAGCCUGACGCAGCGACGCCGCGUGCGGGAUGAAGGCCUUCGGGUCGUAAACCGCUUUUAACGGGGAAGAAGAAUGUGACGGUACCCGUUGAAUAAGCCCCGGCUAACUACGUGCCAGCAGCCGCGGUAAUACGUAGGGGGCGAGCGUUGUCCGAAGUUACUGGGCGUAAAGCGCGCGUAGGCGGUUGCCUAAGUCUGGGGUGAAAGGUUCAGGGCUUAACCCGAACAGUGCCUUGGAUACUGGGCGACUUGAGUGCCGAAGAGGAAAGCGGAAUUCCUGGUGUAGCGGUGAAAUGCGUAGAUAUCAGGAGGAACACCGAUGGCGAAGGCAGCUUUCUGGUCGGCAACUGACGCUGAGGUGCGAAAGCGUGGGGAGCGAACGGGAUUAGAUACCCCGGUAGUCCACGCCGUAAACGAUGAGUGCUAGGUGUCGGGGGUAUCGACCCCUCCGGUGCCGCCGCUAACGCAUAAGCACUCCG
RNAcentral lists this ribosomal RNA (841 nucleotides) under uncultured bacterium. RNAcentral describes it as "bacterial SSU rRNA". It matches the Rfam family "Bacterial small subunit ribosomal RNA", at positions 28 to 871 of the family's 1533-position model. The record is from RNAcentral.